This 292-nucleotide ribosomal RNA is filed under the name uncultured bacterium. RNAcentral's name for it is "partial 16S ribosomal RNA". It matches the Rfam family "Bacterial small subunit ribosomal RNA", at positions 505 to 796 of the family's 1533-position model. The record is from RNAcentral.
GUGCCAGCAGCCGCGGUAAUACGAAGGAGGCAAGCGUUGUUCGGAAUCACUGGGCUUAAAGCGCGUGUAGGCGGAGUGAAAGGUACCUUGUGAAAUCCCUUGGCUCAACUGAGGAAUUGCUUGGUAAACCGGCACUCUUGAGGCAGGUAGAGGUGGGCGGAACUAUGGGUGGAGCGGUGAAAUGCGUAGAGAUCCAUGGGAACACCGGUGGCGAAAGCGGCCCACUAGGCCUGAUCUGACGCUGAGACGCGAAAGCGUGGGUAGCAAACAGGAUUAGAUACCCCGGUAGUCC